AACGAACGCUGGCGGCAUGCCUAACACAUGCAAGUCGAACGAGACCUUCGGGUCUAGUGGCGCACGGGUGCGUAACGCGUGGGAACCUGCCCUUAGGUUCGGAAUAACUCCCCGAAAGGGGUGCUAAUACCGGAUAAUGUCUUCGGACCAAAGAUUUAUCGCCUUUGGAUGGGCCCGCGUUGGAUUAGCUAGUUGGUAGGGUAAAAGCCUACCAAGGCGACGAUCCAUAGCUGGUCUGAGAGGAUGAUCAGCCACACUGAGACUGAGACACGGCCCAGACUCCUACGGGAGGCAGCAGCGGGGAAUAUUGGACAAUGGGCGAAAGCCUGAUCCAGCAAUGCCGCGUGAGUGAUGAAGGCCUUAGGGUUGUAAAGCUCUUUUACCCGGGAUGAUAAUGACAGUACCGGGAGAAUAAGCUCCGGCUAACUCCGUG
Molecule: ribosomal RNA, 433 nt
Filed under: uncultured bacterium
Lineage: Bacteria
Description: partial 16S ribosomal RNA
Rfam family: Bacterial small subunit ribosomal RNA
Source: RNAcentral